GGUGAUGGUGAUGAUGGUGGUGAUGGUGAUGCCCAGUGCCAUGAAUUUGCUUCCCUUUAAGCUGUUUCCUCAUAUCGUAAGCAUCUUCACCAUCGGCGUAAUACUUCGCCUCAAUAUCAUGGAUCUUAUACCCCAAAGUCUCGGUAUAUAACUUGAAAGCAGCCCUGUUGCUCUUCCUCACAUGAAGGGAGACAUAUUCCGCUCCAUAAACCUGUUCCAUGGCAUUCUGAGCCGCGUUCAUGAGCUUAGUAGCUAAACCGAGCUUCCUAUGAGUACGAAGCACAGCAAGGG
RNAcentral lists this unclassified non-coding RNA (291 nucleotides) under Hevea brasiliensis (rubber tree). Lineage: Eukaryota; Viridiplantae; Streptophyta; Magnoliopsida; Malpighiales; Euphorbiaceae. The record is from RNAcentral.